Molecule: ribosomal RNA, 1002 nt
Filed under: fungal sp.
Lineage: Eukaryota; Fungi
Description: SSU rRNA
Rfam family: Eukaryotic small subunit ribosomal RNA
Source: RNAcentral
GCAGUACUAGUAUAGCAUUAUACAGCGAAACUGCGAAUGGCUCAUUAUAUAAGUUAUCGUUUAUUUGAUAGUACCUUACUACUUGGAUAACCGUGGUAAUUCUAGAGCUAAUACAUGCUAAAAAUCCCGACUUCGGAAGGGAUGUAUUUAUUAGAUUAAAAACCAAUGCCCUCUGGGCUCUUUGGUGAUUCAUGAUAACUUCUCGAAUCGCACGGCCUUGCGCCGGCGAUGGUUCAUUCAAAUUUCUUCCCUAUCAACUUUCGAUGUUUGGGUAUUGGCCAAACAUGGUUGCAACGGGUAACGGAGGGUUAGGGCUCGACCCCGGAGAAGGAGCCUGAGAAACGGCUACUACAUCCAAGGAAGGCAGCAGGCGCGCAAAUUACCCAAUCCCGACACGGGGAGGUAGUGACAAUAAAUACUGAUACAGGGCUCUUUUGGGUCUUGUAAUUGGAAUGAGUACAAUUUAAAUCCCUUAACGAGGAACAAUUGGAGGGCAAGUCUGGUGCCAGCAGCCGCGGUAAUUCCAGCUCCAAUAGCGUAUAUUAAAGUUGUUGUGGUUAAAAAGCUCCGUAGUUGAACCUUGGGCCUGGCUGGCCGGUCCGCCUCACCGCGUGUACUGGUCCGGCCGGGCCUUUCCCUCUGUGGAACCUCAUGCCCUUCACUGGGUGUGACGGGGAAACAGGACUUUUACUUUGAAAAAAUUAGAGUGCUCCAGGCAGGCCUAUGCUCGAAUACAUUAGCAUGGAAUAAUGAAAUAGGACGUGUGGUUCUAUUUUGUUGGUUUCUAGGACCGCCGUAAUGAUUAAUAGGGACAGUCGGGGGGCAUCAGUAUUCAAUUGUCAGAGGUGAAAUUCUUGGAUUUAUUGAAGACUAACUACUGCGAAAGCAUUUGCCAAGGAUGUUUUCAUUAAUCAGGAACGAAAGUUAGGGGAUCGAAGACGAUCAGAUACCGUCGUAGUCUUAACCAUAAACUAUGCCGACUAGGGAUCGGACGAUGUUAUU